RNAcentral lists this long non-coding RNA (7698 nucleotides) under Pelobates cultripes (western spadefoot toad). The record is from RNAcentral. Lineage: Eukaryota; Metazoa; Chordata; Amphibia; Anura; Pelobatidae.
UAUAUAUAUAUAUAUAUAUGCCUUUUUUUAAUUUUACUUUUCUUCCCUGGAACAUAUUUUACAUUAUUAGACAAAACACUACAGUUAUCAUUGAAUAAAGGGACUGGUUAUUCUGGGGAGGUUUGUAGAGCAGUAAAAGCUUUGUGUGGAUUGCAGCAUGUGCUGUUGUUUAACCCUUUAAGCCCCUGUGGUAAUGCUAUAAUAGCUUUGGAAAGUUAACAUUUUUCUGAGACCCCUUUCAGAAGGCCCUGCUCCUAUUGUAGUAUGUACAACCAGUGCUAGUAAUGGUAUAAUACAAUUGCAAACGGUUGGUUAGUGCACCGAAUGCAUGUUUUAUGUAUUCCUAUUGACAAUUUAAUUGUAAAAAAUAGGUUUUGUCAUUUAAGUAGCCCAUGAGGCAUUGUUCAGAAGGGCUUACAUGCAAAACAUAGAUUAUUUGCUAGGUCUGUCCCAGCCGGGCUUGCAAGAUCCACCAUUUUUUUUUUUUUUCAUGGAUACACCAGGGCACAGAUUUCCAUUUGUUGCCUACAAACGUAAAGACAUUAUGCGUCCAAGAAAACAUAGUGGAUCUGGUAACAGGGAUCCUGGGCCAAUCGAUAAAAUGUAUGGGGAUAGCAUAAAAUAUGUUUUAUUGGGCAGCAAGCCUCUGCUCCAUACCGGUGUGAUUUGUAACUUUAUUUUCUUACAAAUAAUAGACACACAGUUGCCAUUUUUACAUCUUCCUGUGGCAACAUUGUACAUUGGUAACCUCAUGUUUUAAUGGGAGUUUUAGUAUUACCAGCUCUCACACACAGUGGCACACGUUUAUUUUACUGAGCACAGUUCUGCAGAUUUGUCUCCUGGGAGAGUCGCUAUCAUUGCUAAUCUGGUUUGGAAACGGAUACAUGUGUGUUUCUUUAAAAUGGGGGGAAAAAACUAAGAUGCAAGAAUUCAAAGUGUACAACACCGAAAACUCCUCUAGAACACUAAAAUCUGAUGCAGUAUAAAGGGCAUUCUCGCCCUCCAUUGCCAGACAUGCUACAACGUGUCUGAGGUAAUGGGGUGGGUGAAACUGGAGUACUUCAAGUUAAUGGAAGCGAAUAAUCAGAUUUCUUGUUACUUUAGCGAUGUUAUGACACAGAAGCCCUUUCAUUAGGAUCUCCUAAAAACGUGAAUGGCAGAUGUACAACAUACUAGACGAAAGGCUGCGGACUCUUCUGUGGCACUUAUGUGGUUAAAAGUACAGUAGCAUUUUACAGUGAAAGUGGGGCUGGCAAUGCAUUUUUUCUUUAAAGCUGUGAGGUUUACUAGAACCAAGUCUUUAUAUACUUAAAACAGAAUUGUAACUUAUCGAAAUUUUUAAUAUUAUGUUUAACUUGUCCUCUUUAGCAAAUGUGUACCUUGUGAGGUUUUAAAAAAAAACCAACAUCUCGCAUAGGGGGGGAAAUAAAUUUAUCCUAGAACUCAGCACCUCUGUCUUGGCUCCAUACCAGUCAUUGUUCCAGUCUCUGCUAUUAAAAAAAUUGAAACAUUUCAGACCUAAAUAACAUUUAUUAAACAACUUCGUGGAGGCAGCCAUGCUGAAUGACCAGGACUAAUUGGAGGAAGAGAAACCAUAUUUCUAUUCCUCUUCCCCGAAUGCAAAGUGUGCCCUGCCUGUGCCUGAAUUGAACUGGAUUGUGAUAUCCCUUACUAAAUCUUUAAUGUACAUUUAAAAGAAAAUUAUUUAUAAAGGACUUUUUAGGGUUUCAUUCAGGGCUGUAGUUUUUAUAGACUAACUUUUUAAAGUGUACUUUUUGUGGAACUAUGACUUUCUCGGAAUAUUUCAUCGCUAAGUUGUGCUAGCCACAUUUCUGGCAAAUAUGCCUAGAUUAAAUUUUCUUAUUAACUUCGGUUUGUCAGGAUUUGCCAACAACAAAUAUGGUGGUUGCAGUACCUGUCUGCGUCCGCAUGCUCCCACAAUGCAAAGCAAGUUUUCAUUCAACAAGUAUUUCACGGUGUCUCACUCUCUUCUUUCCAGGAGUAUAUGUAUCUGCAGUUCAGUGCAGGAGUUAAACUUGAGGUUUUAGUGUUACAUUUAAUCUUUUUAGUUGGCGAUAGAGGAAAAAAUCCAAUUUGAAGAUUGGUUAAAAUUCUUUACUCCAGUUCACACUAGUUUCACUCCCCAGUAGUAAGUGAAACUGUUUAGUAGUAAACUAGUAAGUGAAAGUGUUUCUAGGGUUUAUUUAACUAAUUAACAAGCAGUGGAGCUGACAUGGGAUUUAAUUGUCCAAUUCAGAUGUUUUAACCCAUAUUUUGCAAGUUCGAACAAUUAGAAUGCUUCCCAAGACUUUAGGUGGGAUAGUUCUAGUUUCUGGGUCCUGUCCCAGGAUUGUUCCCUUGAGUCCUGAAAUUGGGGACACUAGGGAGUUGUCACCAGCAGAUUCAGCAUUUGAUGCUCUACCCACAAUGCACUCUGGGCUCUCUGCACGUGCGACCCAUAGUGAGCAUGGAAUGCUUGAUUUCGGGUCAUCCUCGCAUGGUAUGGCCCCCGCCUAUCCCCUUCUCGGUUUCAUACCUUCCAUUCUAGAAAGGUCUGAUUUCAUUUGAUACCAAUUGUAACAUUACUUUAUCUUGACGUGGAGAUUUAUUAUGAAGUCUAAAUAUGUAAUAUAUCUUUUGGGAUUCUUGAAAUUAGAUCAUCAACAACAAAAAUAAAAUAAACAAACAGAACUUGAUUUAACUUUUUUUGUAAACCUUUUUACAAUGCAGCUGUGAAUAUCCAGUCAAGAUUUCAAAACCUAAAGAAGCUACAGGGAUCGAUCAUUUCGUUUCUGGAAUAGUUUACGGCACCUUUUAUAAGGGUAUAUUGGUUGAUUUUAGGCUAUUUUAGCUCAAUAGUAAUAUAUACAUAAUUAAAAAAAAAAAAUAAAUAUCUAAAUGGGAGGAAAAGUGGAACCCAAUGUGAUAUUCGGUAAAUGUGUAUUUUAAUAUGGACUAUAUUUUUCUAUGUACUGUCUGGCUAUUUGAUAGGAUUAAAAUGAUAAUAAAGUUGCCACCACCACCAUUUACCUCUUUAUUUUGGAUUAAUUUAAAUGUUUUGCUUGAAAAUUGCAAUUUUAAUAUGGCAGUUUAUUCUUUUAUAAUUUAUUUCCUAAAAUGCUAAUUUUUCAUAUUUAGGAAGUAGUAACCACAAUCGUACCAAACCAGGUCACAUGCUUGUGUGCUUUGUUACUUCAGCCGGUUGAAAGUUUAUCAGAUUUGUAGAUGUUAAUGAUUUGCCUGGUGAUACCGGUCACAGUAUAACUAAUUUUCCCAAUGUUCUAUUCUUGAUUAAAGCAAGGUUUUAUAAAAAUUGGCGCAUGCACUUAUUCUAAAAAUGAAACCUUUCAAACACGGCAAAUGAGCUUCUGCAAAUCCUUUCUUGUCUAAAUAGCUAGUCCUCCUGUACGAUAAUUAAAAAUACAAAUAUUUUAAUAAACUAUCCAUCCUAAGUCCUGCUGUGCAUUUUGAGAACCACUUAUAUAAUAAGUGUUUUAACUCCGUGCCAUUUUGAUUCAUGAUUUAACAAUAGUUAGUUUUUAGACCAUUUCUAGUACUGGAGAUCUAUGCGCAAUAAUGCUUAUAAAUACCGUUCACUGGGACUAUUAGGAGUCAUACUUUCAAGUUAAGACUACCUGAUGUGUAUGUCAUAUAUUGCAGAUUAGGGAUCUUGCCACCUCUUUCACGGUUGUCUUCAUGCACAUCAUCCUACUUGCCAAAACUAUAUGGGGGAAUAGGAGCUUUUCUUUGAGGAUUAGUGGAAUGGGUUAUUUAAUAAAAUGUGUGUGUUUAAAUGUAGGGGCCCAAGGAAAGAAAUUGUGUUUAUAUAAAACAUUCUAGUACACUGGUAAUGGCAGACCAGAAGGCAGAGUCUCUUGCAAUUGUAUUAUGGUACCAAUAUUGAAGUGAAGACUAGAUUGCAUUUAAAUACACACCUAAGCUCCCUAACUACUCUAAUAUUGUUCCCAAUUCCAGUACAGCUAUGUUCAAAUGUACCAUAUUACAACAGGAACAAUUGUAAAUUACGAUAUCCUUUCUGGAAUAAAUUUUUUUAAACAUUCUAAUAAAAAAAAGAAUCUACAAAAAAUAUCUGGAUUUCUAUUUAUAAAAAUACUUGAAGGCAAAUUGCAAUAUAGUUGGCGAACAAAGAAAUGGACAGCAUGGCUGUGUGCGACACCACUAGCUGGUGGUUUAUCAAGGCUGCAACAUGCAGCUCUACUGUUGGCAUAUAGUAAAAAAAAAUAAUAAUAAACAUGAGCUGUUUUUCUUUAAGUUGACUUGUUAUCCACAACUGUGUGAGUGACCAGAUCUUUUUCAGACACUCCUGAAAUUUAGUCUAUAUGAUUUACUUGGGGAAACUUAUGCAAAUGCAUAUAUUAAAUGUUCUCUGCUAACCCACUUGGACCCAAGACAUCUCUUUUUGAAUGCAUGAACACGCUGCUGAUUUAAAAUGCCAAACAUAUGACAUCUUGCAAAACGUGAAACACGAGUUAGCACUAGGUAUUAUGUUGUCCACCAACUGCAGCUGCUAAUUUAUUGUAGUUUAGAUCUCCAUACUGACCAAUUGGUAUAAACUACAAAUCUAUCCGACCACAGUAUAAAAAUAAAAUGCAUGUAUUAAGAAAUGCCAUUGGGUCAUACUAGUUUAGUAGUGAAGUUAAAUGAGCAAUCCUUUUUGUUCAGUAUCCAUCAGUUGUGUAAGGCUCUUUUAGAGAAACUGUCACUUCAGCAUUCAUUAAAAAAUUACUAGGUGCUGGUUUUACUUAUAAUUUAAAAUAUUAUUUCUGGGUUUUGUUUUGUAUUUUUUGAAAUCUUAUUUAGGUCAGAAGCCUGUUUUUUGUUUUUUUGUUUUUUUUUAAUUAAUGCAUUUAACUGAGGUGAGGUAAAAUGGACUCUAGUACCACCAACAAAAUGGUGGCAUUUCCUCUUUAAGUGAUUAAUGGGGAAAAAGUUUUUUUUUUUUGUAAAAGAUUAUAUUGAAAAUAGCCAAAUAAUUUUUGUAUUAUAAAAAUAAAAUAUUUAUAUAAAUAUAUCUUUUAAGCAGUUAUAGUAUACUAGCAUUGUACAAUCUGAACAUUAUGAGGUAGUUGGGGACUGGCUUAUCUGAAUGUUGGCAUUUCUGUUCCUGCCAUAAUUACUCCUUGCAGUAAACUGCCAGCGGGUGCAUACCUUUCCCCACCCUCUGCUUGCACAUUGACAUUAAUUUUAAUAUUUUGAAGGCCACAUAGGUGAUGUCUUUGGCCCUUAAAGGGCUAGUUGUUCUGUGUUUUUAUUUUUUCAUUUUCUUUUAUUUUUUUGUAAAUCUAUGCCAUGUAAAUUUAAAUUAUGCUUUCCCAGUCCUAAUCAUAUUUGUUGCAAGAUUUUUAUUUAAUCACUGCAUUGCUGGAGUGGCAUGAUGUGCAGUGAGUUUAAGGAGUAUCAAUAGAAAAAUAAAAUUAAAAUGUAAUAAGUCUGGUGCUGAAACGUUGUGAUCCUUUUAACUCUUUUCAGUUGGCCUUGUAAUAUUUUAAUGAUCUCUCUGGGGUGAAAAGGCAUUAGUCAAGAUAUCAUUUUACCACUAACUUGGGGUUAUUUACGAAUGCGAGAAAUAUCAGAAAUUCAAACUAAAUUUAACAUUUACUUUCAAAGUUACCGAACUGGAAACAGCAGAAUUGGAGAAUUCUUCAAAUUCGGCUAUUUUGUCCUUCAAUUUAAAAUUGCAUUCAUUUUGAAUUCGAAACAAUUCUCUUUUAUGAAGUAACCCUAGAACUGUAAUGAUGGAGACAGUGCUGGAGGAAAGCAUGUUCUAGAACAGGGAUAGUCAACCUUCUGCACUACAGAUGCCGUGGACUACAUCUCCUAUAAUAUACUUACAGCCACGAUUCUGGCAAAGUAGCAGGGGGAUAUGUAGUCCACAACAUCUGGAGUGCAGAAUGUUGCCUUACCCCUUUUCUAGAAGAUUCUUGGCCUGUUCUUUGACUUGUUCUAGAAAAGGAUGGAAAUAAAAUAAAACCUCAUUUGAAUUCCAAAAAUUAGUCAAUGUAAUUUUAAUCCUCCCUUUACAUUUUAAACAAGUCUUAAUAUUUUGAUACUAGGGAUUCAUGUAUAAUGGUUUCCAAUCUGAUGCGCCACCUCAACACCCUAACCGAUAUUAAAAGAAUAUAUAUAAUACAUUUUAUUACAAAGUAUGCAUUCUUGUUUUAGUUGGUCACUCUGACAUCUCCGACACUUUUAGGUAAAAUAAAACCCUCGUCUUUUUAUCUUUCUAAAUCUCUGCUCAGGUAUGCACCCUAAAAGUUUGUUGGUGAAACUCUUUUGCCAUGGGAAAAACAAAGUCUUCAUUGGAGCAGAUUAAAAUGACACUCGUAGUGUAUUUGACAAGACAGCUAGCUUGUUUGUUACAUUCUGAUGCUAAAGUAUUUUCUCCUCACAGCAACGCCACUUCUGUAGAUACGAGCAAAGCCAUGCGAUUUAUGCCCAGAUGGCCUGUACUAGAACAUAAGUGUGUGACAAAUUACACUAUUUCCAUAUUUGGGGUUUGAUGUACUUGAAGUGACUUGUUUGAGAUGACUGCCUCUGACCAUGUCAUCCUGUGCUGGAGGUGUAAAUUCUUCCUUAAAUGGCUUAACAGGUGUUUCCUCACAGAGUAAAUAAUAUCCUUGCUUGCUCUAUGCAUCUUAGCAAUCUACUUUGUUUGGAGCCUGAAGAAGACUUAAAACUUUACAAAAAAAUGUAUCCCUUAUUCCCAAUAAUUGAGAGCCUUUAAAGCUGAACACUAAAUGAGGCCUUAUACGCCGAUUGUCUCUAAUGUUCCCCCUAUUUAAUUACAAUACAAAUUAGGGACUUUAAACUCUUUUUAAUAAAUCCCUUCUACUUUGUCUAGCCUAUUUGUUUAUGUGAAAUCUAUCAGAAGAUGCUUUGACAAACCUUUCAUUCACAAACAAAUAUGAAUUUGGGCCAAACAUGGGCACAUGGACUGUCCCAUUUCAGAGCCGCCUUGUAAAUAGGUAUAAACAGAUUUACACUCCGACGCUAAGAAAUAGGCCAUUCAAUGGACAUUUGUAACCCGGAGAAAUAAUCUAGAUUUUAUUUUUGUAUCUGUGGUAAAGGAGUGCUAAUCAGUUUUGAGUUAAAUGUAUUUUUUUUUUUUUUUUGCAAUUGCUCAAAUUAACGAAUUAAAGUGCCUAAACUGUUAUAUUCACUAUGUAACUAUAUACGUAAAAAGAUGUAAAAAAAAACUGUUGUAAUUUUUAUAAGCAUUUUUACCUCUGUGUAAAAAACAAAACAAAAAGCCUAUACAUGCAAGUCUAAUGAUGUACAUUUGAGUUAUUUACUUUUUUUUUUUAUUGUUUCUAAUAUGUAUGAUCGACGUAGUUACUGCUUUACAAUACGUACCAUGUAAAUAUAAAUACAAAAUAUAAAAAAAGUUUGUCUUAAGCUACUUUUUAUUGACGAAUCUCAAUGGUUGGUGACUCUAGAUAUAUGUAAAAAACCAUGUAAAGUAAUUUUAGGUGCCUCUCCUAUUGGCAGCGUGUACCGAAGUUGCAACAAAGUGUAAGCACUCAUGGAAAGCUAUUUUUAAAUUUUGUUUUAAUUACUCCGUACAUACACUUGUAAAUCAACCAUGCACAUUUUAUGUUGCGGUUAAAGGGAAACUGUUUGGUUUAUUUUUUUUUAUAAUCCUAUUUAACAUUAAAUAAAGUUGCCCGUAUCAUGGUA